Molecule: ribosomal RNA, 791 nt
Filed under: uncultured bacterium
Lineage: Bacteria
Description: bacterial SSU rRNA
Rfam family: Bacterial small subunit ribosomal RNA
Source: RNAcentral
AGAGUUUGAUCCUGGCUCAGAUUGAACGCUGGCGGCAUGCCUUACACAUGCAAGUCGAACGGCAGCACGGGGGCAACCCUGGUGGCGAGUGGCGAACGGGUGAGUAAUACAUCGGAACGUGUCCUGUAGUGGGGGAUAGCCCGGCGAAAGCCGGAUUAAUACCGCAUACGAUCUACGGAAGAAAGCGGGGGACCGAAAGGCCUCGCGCUAUAGGGGCGGCCGAUGGCAGAUUAGCUAGUUGGUGGGGUAAAGGCCUACCAAGGCGACGAUCUGUAGCUGGUCUGAGAGGACGACCAGCCACACUGGGACUGAGACACGGCCCAGACUCCUACGGGAGGCAGCAGUGGGGAAUUUUGGACAAUGGGGGAAACCCUGAUCCAGCAAUGCCGCGUGUGUGAAGAAGGCCUUCGGGUUGUAAAGCACUUUUGUCCGGAAAGAAAACCUUCGCUCGAAUACAGUGGGGGGAUGACGGUACCGGAAGAAUAAGCACCGGCUAACUACGUGCCAGCAGCCGCGGUAAUACGUAGGGUGCGAGCGUUAAUCGGAAUUACUGGGCGUAAAGCGUGCGCAGGCGGUUCGUUAAGACAGAUGUGAAAUCCCCGGGCUUAACCUGGGAACUGCAUUUGUGACUGGCGAGCUAGAGUAUGGCAGAGGGGGGUAGAAUUCCACGUAGCAGUGAAAUGCGUAGAGAUGUGGAGGAAUACCGAUGGCGAAGGCAGCCCCCUGGGCCAAUACUGACGCUCAUGCACGAAAGCGUGGGGAGCAAACAGGAUUAGAUACCCUAGUAGUCC